AAUAGAUUGAAUUUUAAUCAAAUUUGUCGAAAUUUCUCACAAAAUCGUAAUCGUAAAAUAAAUCUGAUUUUUACAUCUAUACGCUUGAUACGUUGAUAUCAUCACUUCCAUACGUUGUUAAUGAUAACGUCGCCAUUAUCGAUGCGUUAUUAUAUGAUAAUAUACAGGAUAUGGCGAUAAGGACAGUAGACAAAUCCGGUAUUUGUGAAGAAACGCCGGUACGAAUGGCGGACUUGGACAGUUGGAUGGCAGCAGUUCGAUGCUAAUGAAAUUCCGCCGGUCUCUCUCAUAGAUUGUGCAGUCGGUCCAGGUGACUGCUAGUUUGGCAUGAGUGUGAAUCCACAGAAUGCACACUAUGGGAUUAUCCUGGAUUCGGAUAAAUCUGGGGCAGAUUUAAUAAAAGAAGGUCGAGGAAAUGACAAGAAGUUACAUUUUUUAAUUAGAAAAGAUGGUUGGAACGAAGACACGAUUCAUUCAGCUUCAUAAAUGUCCACAUUAAUUGGGAUAAUUUUGCUGUCAACGGAGGAGAUAAUUAAUGUCAGGCCAAAAUACUUG
Long non-coding RNA from Apis dorsata (giant honeybee), 555 nucleotides. RefSeq lists it as uncharacterized. The transcript is spliced from 2 exons. The record is from RefSeq and is a predicted model, not a curated record. Lineage: Eukaryota; Metazoa; Arthropoda; Insecta; Hymenoptera; Apidae.